Molecule: ribosomal RNA, 559 nt
Filed under: uncultured Nitrosopumilales archaeon
Lineage: Archaea; Thermoproteati; Nitrososphaerota; Nitrososphaeria; Nitrosopumilales
Description: bacterial SSU rRNA
Rfam family: Archaeal small subunit ribosomal RNA
Source: RNAcentral
GGCCCUAUGGGGCGCAGCAGGCGAGAAAACUUUGCAAUGUGCGAAAGCACGACAAGGUUAAUCCGAGUGGUUUCUGCUAAAGGAACCUUUUGUUAGUCGUAGAAUCACUGAUGAAUAAGGGGUGGGCAAGUUCUGGUGUCAGCCGCCGCGGUAAAACCAGCACCUCAAGUGGUCAGGAUGAUUAUUGGGCCUAAAGCAUCCGUAGCCGGCUCUGUAAGUUUUCGGUUAAAUCUGUACGCUCAACGUACAGGCUGCCGGGAAUACUGCAGCGCUAGGGAGUGGGAGAGGUAGACGGUACUCGGUAGGAAGGGGUAAAAUCCUUUGAUCUAUUGAUGACCACCUGUGGCGAAGGCGGUCUACCAGAACACGUCCGACGGUGAGGGAUGAAAGCUGGGGGAGCAAACCGGAUUAGAUACCCGGGUAGUCCCAGCUGUAAACUAUGCAAACUCAAUGAUGCAUUGGCUUGUGGCCAGUGCAGUGUUGCAGGGAAGCCGUUAAGUUUGCCGCCUGGGAAGUACGUACGCAAGUAUGAAACUUAAAGGAAUUGGCGGGGGAGCAC